GAUGAACGCUGGCGGCGUGCCUAAUACAUGCAAGUCGAGCGCUGGAAGGGGACCUUUCUUUGCUUGAUGAGUUGGGCGGGGGGGUGAAACGCAUGGGUAUCCUGCCUGGUAGCGGGUGAGAUCUAUUGGAGACGAUAGAUAUUACCGCAGAAUAGAAGAUGAUGCAUGAGGUUCUCUUAAAAUAUGCAAUUCAGUUACUACUAGAUGGACCUGCCUUGUUUUAGUUAGUUGGUGAGAUAACGGCUCACUAAGGCAACGAUCCAUAGCAGCCCAGAGAGGAGGAUCGGCCACACGGGAACUGAGCACGGGUCCAGACUCCAACGGGAGGCAGCAGUGGGGAAUCUUGGGCAAUGGGCGAAGGCCGGACGGAGCAACGCCGCGGGUGUGAGGAAGGUCUUCGGAUGUUAAAACCCUUUGAAUAGGGAGAAAGAGUGGGAGAAUGAAAAGUUCACAUUUUGACGGUACCUAAACAGAAAGCCACGGCUAACUACGUG
Molecule: ribosomal RNA, 494 nt
Filed under: uncultured bacterium
Lineage: Bacteria
Description: partial 16S ribosomal RNA
Rfam family: Bacterial small subunit ribosomal RNA
Source: RNAcentral